This 1025-nucleotide long non-coding RNA is filed under the name Anas platyrhynchos platyrhynchos (common mallard). RNAcentral's name for it is "lncRNA (ENSAPLG00000019329.1)". The record is from RNAcentral. Lineage: Eukaryota; Metazoa; Chordata; Aves; Anseriformes; Anatidae.
ACCACGCUGAGGGGACACCAGGGCCCAGCAGAGCAAGGGGAGGGGGGAGCCCCAGCAGGAGGGUGCUGGUUGUCCCCCACCCCACGGUGUGCAGUGCCCCAGAGGGGGGACACAAGGACACGGGGUGCUCAGGGAGGCCCGUCCCCGUAACCCACGUACCAAGCUCCCCGGAGCUGUUGCAGGGGUUCCUCUGGCCGUGGCAGAGGCGGCUGCUCCCGCGCUCCGUCACCUCCUGCCAGGCGCUGCUCCCGCCUGGGCACUGCAGCUCCAGUGGCACCGUGCUGGGAAGGAGAGCUCAGCACCGGGCACCGCGCCCAGCCCCCCUGAACCCCCCCGAGCCCCCCCUGAGCCCCCCGUACUCACAGGUUCUGCAGGUUCGUGAAGCCCAGGAAGGAGCUGUUGGGGAGGGCUGCCAGGGGGUUCUCCGUCAGGUCCCUGCAAACACACCGGGGGCUGGGGGUCCUGCCUGGGGGAGCACAGGCACCCCGGGGUGGUGCCACAGGGGGACAGCGGGGAUGGGAACCAGAGCGUGCACGGCCCAGCCCCAUCCCACAGCUGCCCCCAGAGCCCUCUCCCUGCCCCGCCGGGACUCACAGGACAACGACAGGCGCGGCCUCAGCAAACGCAGCGGGCAGGCUGCGCAGGGAGCAGUUGCUCAGGUCCAACCUGGGCGGAGGGAGGGACGUCAGACACCUGCACCCCACUGCGCCCCCCGCAUGCUGCAGCCUCCCACACCCAACAGCCCCCCAAAAAAUUCCAAAAAAUUCCCCACAGCCCCUCGCACACACCCCGCAGCCCCCAUACACACCCCGCACCCCGCACACAGCCCCCGCAGCCCCCCCCCGCCCCUCCCGUACCCGAGCAGGCGCCGUGGGGGUCCCGGAUCCAGGCAGCAGCGUCCCCGCGGCUCCGCGCCCACCGUGGAGGCGCAGAACCGGGCCACGACGGAUCCGUUCCGCAGCGGCCCCGGGCAGCUCCCGCACACCUGCGGGGGGAAACGGUCACGGGGGGCGCGGGCACGGCCG